This 71-nucleotide transfer RNA is filed under the name Loxodonta africana (African savanna elephant). It matches the Rfam family "tRNA". From Rfam's summary of the family: Transfer RNA (tRNA) molecules are approximately 80 nucleotides in length. Their secondary structure includes four short double-helical elements and three loops (D, anti-codon, and T loops). Further hydrogen bonds mediate the characteristic L-shaped molecular structure. tRNAs have two regions of fundamental functional importance: the anti-codon, which is responsible for specific mRNA codon recognition, and the 3' end, to which the tRNAs corresponding amino acid is attached (by aminoacyl-tRNA synthetases). tRNAs cope with the degeneracy of the genetic code in two manners: having more than one tRNA (with a specific anti-codon) for a particular amino acid; and 'wobble' base-pairing, i.e. permitting non-standard base-pairing at the 3rd anti-codon position. Lineage: Eukaryota; Metazoa; Chordata; Mammalia; Proboscidea; Elephantidae. The record is from Rfam by way of RNAcentral.
ACAUUUGUGGUUCAGUGGUAUAAUUCUUGCCUUCCCGGUAGGAGACCCAGGUUCGAUUCCUGGCCAACGUA